UUCCGGUUGAUCCUGCCGGACCCGACUGCUAUCGGAUUGAGAUUUAGCCAUGCGAGUCGAACGUCCCCCUGUUGCGGGGGGCGUGGCGUACGGCUCAGUAACGCGUAGUCAACCUGCCCUGGAGACAAGGACAACCCCGGGAAACUGGGAUUAAUCCUUGAUAGGUCAUCUCAUCUGGAAGGAGAGAUGGCUUAAAGGGGUACGCGGGCUUCUUCCGCGAAUCUGCUCCAGGAUGGGACUGCGUCCGAUCAGGCUGUUGGCGGGGUAAUGGCCCACCAAACCUGUAACCGGUACGGGCCUUGAGAGAGGUGGCCCGGAGAUGGACACUGAGAGAAGGGUCCAGGUCCUACGGGGCGCAGCAGGCGCGAAACCUUCGCAAUGCGCGAAAGCGUGACGAGGUUAAUCCGAGUGACUCCCGCUGAGGGGGUCUUUUGUCAGCUGUAAAUAGGCAGGCGAAUAAGGGGAGGGCAAGCCUGGUGUCAGCCGCCGCGGUAAUACCAGCUCCUCGAGUGGUCGGGGCGAUUAUUGGGCCUAAAGCAUCCGUAGCCGGUUCCGUAGGUCCUCUGUUAAGUCCAACCGCUUAACGGUUGACCUGCAGAGGAUACCGCGGGACUAGGAGGCGGGAGAGGCGGACGGUACUCCGCGUGUAGGGGUAAAAUCCUUUGAUCCGCGGAAGACCACCAGUGGCGAAGCGGUCCGCCAGAACGCGCUCGACGGUGAGGGAUGAAAGCUGGGGGGAGCGAACCGGAUUAGAUACCCGGGUAG
This 765-nucleotide ribosomal RNA is filed under the name uncultured archaeon. RNAcentral describes it as "bacterial SSU rRNA". It matches the Rfam family "Archaeal small subunit ribosomal RNA", at positions 1 to 744 of the family's 1478-position model. The record is from RNAcentral.